AAAUAGAUACCCCGGUAGUCCACGCCGUAAACGACUGAGUGCUAAGUGUUAGAGGGUUUCCGCCCUUUAGUGGCUGCAGCUAACGCAUUAAGCACUCCGCCUGGGGAGUACGGUCGCAAGACUGAAACUCAAAGGAAUUGACGGGGGCCCGCACAAGCGGUGGAGCAUGUGGUUUAAUUCGAAGCAACGCGAAGAACCUUACCAGGUCUUGACAUCCUCUGACAACUCUAGAGAUAGAGCGUUCCCCUUCGGGGGACAGAGUGACAGGUGGUGCAUGGUUGUCGUCAGCUCGUGUCGUGAGAUGUUGGGUUAAGUCCCGCAACGAGCGCAACCCUUGAUCUUAGUUGCCAGCAUUCAGUUGGGCACUCUAAGGUGACUGCCGGUGACAAACCGGAGGAAGGUGGGGAUGACGUCAAAUCAUCAUGCCCCUUAUGACCUGGGCUACACACGUGCUACAAUGGAUGGUACAAAGGGCUGCAAGACCGCGAGGUCAAGCCAAUCCCAUAAAACCAUUCUCAGUUCGGAUUGU
Molecule: ribosomal RNA, 529 nt
Filed under: uncultured bacterium
Lineage: Bacteria
Description: bacterial SSU rRNA
Rfam family: Bacterial small subunit ribosomal RNA
Source: RNAcentral